GUGCCAUGGAUGAGAAGGGUCAGGAUGGCUUUUGUGGAUGCGUGCCCAAGGGAAAUUAGCCCUGCUGGCUCAGUGCGCUGAACGCGCACCCCUGAUUCUGUAAGACCCAGACAACCGGGGCACCUUUUCACUUGCGCCAAGCCUUGCCCCACGAGGCGUGAGGGCCCUCAGUGUGUGUGGCCGUGGGGCUCCACCUGUGAGUUUCAGGACCAUUUCUGGAGCUUCUAGCCUCGCUUCCAUUAUUUUUAGAUGAACAGCAUCUUCAUCAGCAGUUAACUGAGGGGCUGUUUCUCUGCUUCAGACCUCACAGCAGGCACUGGGUGCAACCUUUCUGACCCCUGCUCUUAUAACACGUAGGCUGACGUGACUGGUGAGCACCACAGGCCAAACGUCGUGGGAUGUGUCCAGGCCCAAACACCUCACUGCUGGGACAUGACUCUUCCUUUUCCGUCUGAGGAGGGUGCUGCUUCCACAUGAUGGAGCUCCCGGACGGCAGAGCCUUGGAGUCUGGUUCCUGGGCAACUGUGUGAAUAGGAUCUUCCAGCAGCCAACAGGGGACAUGUAGUGUAGUUGGAAAAAAGAUCUUCACUGUGUUAAUCAUGGGGAUUUCAGGGUUAAAGUAAUUGCAGCACACUUAGCUGUUAUGACUGAUAUAAUGGUUACAUUUAUCAACCAGCUGAAGGAAUGAAUAGCCAUAUUUAUAACUCUAAGACUUCCUAUUAAUAAUAGGGAAUUUUCUGUAAUUAGAUAAAUUUAUAAACAUCAAAGUUGUCAAGCUUUCCUCUUUUUUUUUGUUAAAAUUAUUUCUAAUUUUAUAUAUUUCUAUUGCAAUCACACACGAUCUUCUAAUAUAUUUUACCUUCCCCCUCACAUUAGCAAGUAUUUAAAAAUGCUAUAUAAAAAUACAUGUGUAGUCCAAAAUUUCUUUUGGAACAAUACAUAGAAGU
Molecule: long non-coding RNA, 947 nt
Organism: Octodon degus (degu)
Lineage: Eukaryota; Metazoa; Chordata; Mammalia; Rodentia; Octodontidae
Exons: 3
Source: RefSeq, a predicted model, not a curated record